CCUUGUCCACUGGUUUUACUCCAUCUUUCCCCGUUGCCAAAUUUGUGGCUGCAGCCCCAAUCUACCAAGUGCCUCCUCCAUUUUUUUGCAGAAGGUAUACCGCAGAUCCUGCUUCCGCUUUCUUACUCUGUCUUUCCUUGAUGCCUGUCGUCUUGCUGCCGAAUUUUGGACUAGGUCCUAACCUACCAAGCCCCUCCUCAUACACUACACCAGGGGUGUCCAAUCUUAUCCGCAAAGGGCCGGUGUGGGUGCAGGUUUUCAUUCCAACCAGGCAGGAGCCACACCUGAUUCCACCUGUUUAAUCAGUUGAUCUUGGCUUUCAGUAGAAUGAAAACCUGCACCCACACCGGCCCUUUCUGGAUAACAUUGGACACCCCUGCACUACACCUUUUACCUUGUUGACCCUCUUAAUCUCUGCCACAACCACAACCAAUCCCAUUUAAGCAGCAAAUUUUGUGCCACUCAGAAUCCGGCAACUGACAUUUCCGAGGGCUGAAAUGUUCCAGGUGGCUGAUCUUCCAAUGUUUCAUCUCCACACGACACUUUUAAUAUCACGACCGAUUGCAAGGUGCACCUCUCUUAGUUAAGAUCCGUCCAAAUCUUUUAGCAGUUUGCAUUAACAGGGACCAUAGAUAAAUGUGCAUACUAAAAUGACGUCUUAGGUAGCCUACGCAUAGCCUCAAGCAUAGUCUGGAGUUUUAGGUGAGUGUAGCUCACUCUUAGGCAUGUGCCAAUAAUCAGUCGUACGGUAUAUCACGAUAUUUUGUAAAAAUCACCUUGUUAACAAGUACACUUUGGCUCUUGUAUUGUGCACUACAUUAUUUAACCCCUUAAGGAAGGAAUGGGGAAUAGGCAUCAAUCACAUAUAAUUUAUUAGGCAACAUAAAGACAGUGGUCUUCUAAAGGCCCUUAUUUUUGAAAGUGUCCUUAUCAGAGAAGGCAAUCCUAUCAUUUUGUUCUCGAGACGAAUAAAAUGCGUCCAGGGGAAAAAAUUGUAGCUUUUAGCGAUAUUUUUUAAUACUAUAUCGUGAUAAUAUCGUAAGCUUUGAUAAUCAGCACAUGCCUAGUGGUUAUAGGAUACAGCCAUUUAAUGGCCAUUUUAUUCUGAUUAUAAAUAUCUUUAAUAGUGCAUUUGCCUGAUUGUUUAAGCAAAAGCAUGCGAUGCUGAUGUUCAUGUGAGGUAAUGCAACUUGCACAAUUGCUCAAUUUUAAUUUCAGUUUUUUUCUUUUAACCAAAAAUUUGAAAACUACCCAAGCAUUCAAACUCUUUGCUAAUUGUGAAACAUUUAGCCGCUCGUUUAAUUUAUUCAUUUUGUUAAUGUAUUUUGCAAAGAUUUCUGCUUAUGAGGAAAUGUUUAAAGUGGGUUUUUUUUAAAGCCCUUAAUUGGAAGAAAAUGGUUUUAAAGCUAAAAUAAACACAAAGUAAACACUAAACACUUUUCCCCCCCAAAAUCAACCACGGAUUGACAAGCUAAAUCGUUAAGUAUUAAAUGACUUUUUAUUACUUUUAUUUUUAAAUUCCUGACAAAAUAACGGACAUUUUGAGCGAGAAAUAAAAUGGUAAAUUGUUUCAGUUUUGUCAACAUGAAAUGUAGACAGCUUGUGAAUUGCGACCACGAUGAUUAUUAAAGGAAUAUUUAAAUGAAAAGAAAUUGUACACAAUGUUCCUCUUGUCUCAGAUUUCAUCAGUCAGCCAUUUUUUGUGUCUGAAGUUUAGGUUUGCGCCAGCGCUACGAGUCCAGUGUAGCUAAGAAGUAGUUGAUGGACAGCCAUCUCAUUCGUAAACAUCUACUUGUUUCAAACAGUAUUAACAAACUACAUAAUCUGAAUUCUGUGGAAACGAUGGUGUAAAAUAUUAUAUUAUACCCUGCCUCAUAAAAUUUGUAGGUGAAAUCUGGACAAUAAAGUUCUGUUUAAAAAAAUAAUAAUAGUAGACCUCAGGAAAAAUUUAGCUACAUAAUGUCCAAUUCUUGCUUGCUACAUUUUCAACUAAAGACACAAACUUGUUUUGGCUGAUUUGCAUUUCCGAGUGAGCGGGAAAGAUGAAUAUUUCCGGUUUGUUUGGGGUUUUUUUCCUUCCAAGUGCUAAAACUUGGACUCCUGGAAUCCUGGACUUGGGCUGCGUUUAAUUUCAUUUGGUGGACCAUUGCUUCGGAGCAGUAUAAGACACUUCAGGAGUAACUGAACUGCUGCUUUCAUGAUGCCAGUUAUGAUGUCUUGUUAAUAGAUGCUUGUAAUAAAAUUGUAAUUAUCACUAAUAGUCAAUAUUAAAUAAAAAUAUAUAUAUAUAUAUAUGAUGUACAGUUCAUAGUUCUGUAUAAAAAUGUCUUGUUUAUCCUCAGAGAUUAAAUUUAACUACGAAAUGU
This is a long non-coding RNA of Ictalurus punctatus (channel catfish), 2366 nucleotides long. The record is from Ensembl. Lineage: Eukaryota; Metazoa; Chordata; Actinopteri; Siluriformes; Ictaluridae.